ACCCGCUGAACUUAAGCAUAUCAAUAAGCGGAGGAAAAGAAACCAACCGGGAUUACCUCAGUAACGGCGAGUGAAGCGGUAACAGCUCAAAUUUGAAAUCUGGCCUCGGCCCGAGUUGUAAUUUGUAGAAGAUGCUUCGGGCGUGGCUCCGGUCUAAGUUCCUUGGAACAGGACGUCAUAGAGGGUGAGAAUCCCGUAUGUGACUGGGUGCCUCCGCCUGUGUGAAGCUCUUUCGACGAGUCGAGUUGUUUGGGAAUGCAGCUCAAAAUGGGUGGUAUAUUUCAUCUAAAGCUAAAUAUUGGCCAGAGACCGAUAGCGCACAAGUAGAGUGAUCGAAAGAUGAAAAGCACUUUGGAAAGAGAGUUAAACAGUACGUGAAAUUGUUGAAAGGGAAGCGUUUGCAACCAGACUUGCGCGCUGCCGAUCAUCCGGUGUUCUCACCGGUGCACUCGGUUGCGUUCAGGCCAGCAUCGGUUUGGGUGGCUGGAUAAAGGCCUUGGGAAUGUAGCUUCUUUCGGGGAGUGUUAUAGCCCUGGGUGCAAUGCAGCCUACCUGGACCGAGGACCGCGCUUCGGCUAGGAUGCUGGCGUAAUGGUUGUAAACGACCCGUCUUGAAACACGG
Molecule: ribosomal RNA, 622 nt
Filed under: uncultured fungus
Lineage: Eukaryota; Fungi
Description: eukaryotic LSU rRNA
Rfam family: Eukaryotic large subunit ribosomal RNA
Source: RNAcentral